UCCUCCCCUUCUCCUCCCCUGCUCGCUGCAGACUCCCUCCUCACUGUCGCUGCCGAGAUCCACAGUCGGUUGUGGCUCAGCCCCUGUUGCAGGGGACAAGUGAGGGAGACUUCCCUGUCCUGCCCUGAGACGCCGCCCUCCCGGGGUUGGGGACAGAGCAGGUGCAGAGGCACUGCAGCUGCUCGGUUGCCCACCUCCUGAAUGAUGCCAGCCCAGUAUGCU
Molecule: long non-coding RNA, 222 nt
Filed under: Homo sapiens (human)
Lineage: Eukaryota; Metazoa; Chordata; Mammalia; Primates; Hominidae
Description: non-protein coding lnc-TNXB-1:3
Source: RNAcentral